UACGGAGGGGGCUAGCGUUGUUCGGAAUUACUGGGCGUAAAGCGCACGUAGGCGGCUGUGUAAGUCAGAGGUGAAAGCCCAGGGCUCAACCUUGGAACUGCCUUUGAGACUGCACGGCUUGAAUCACGGAGAGGUGGGUGGAAUUCCGAGUGUAGAGGUGAAAUUCGUAGAUAUUCGGAAGAACACCAGUGGCGAAGGCGGCCCACUGGACGUGUAUUGACGCUGAGGUGCGAAAGCGUGGGGAGCAAACAGG
RNAcentral lists this ribosomal RNA (253 nucleotides) under uncultured bacterium. RNAcentral describes it as "partial 16S ribosomal RNA". It matches the Rfam family "Bacterial small subunit ribosomal RNA", at positions 524 to 776 of the family's 1533-position model. The record is from RNAcentral.